GUGGGUUGUAAUUUAUUUGGAUGGUUCUAAUUUAAUUGGAUGUUAAGUUAUAUUUAUUUGGAUAUUUGAUCUAAUUUUUAUUAAAAAUUUAAAUGUCAUAUAUAAAUGUAUCUUGUAUCUCUCUUUUUUUUGUUUUUUUUUUUUAUUUGGGGGAGUUGGGGAGAGGGAGCAGUGGGGUUUGAACUCGGGACCUCACUGUUCACACACAGGAGGUCGUACCACUUGGUGUCCCCUUAAAGACGUAUCUUGUAUCUCUUAAAAAAAUAUUUCUGGUAAAAACCAUGCAAACUCAUUAUAACAAAGGUCAAAAUAAGUUGUUCAAUGUGGAAAGCCUGUAUUUAUAAAAGUGAACACUUUUUACAC
Molecule: long non-coding RNA, 363 nt
Filed under: Salvia miltiorrhiza (redroot sage)
Lineage: Eukaryota; Viridiplantae; Streptophyta; Magnoliopsida; Lamiales; Lamiaceae
Description: long non-coding RNA (SMIL_LNC012132)
Source: RNAcentral